UAAUUUUCUCACGGGGGAGGGGAGGUUUUGGUGGGGUUUCUUUACCCACCGAAAGGCUGCAGCGUUGCUCGGGCUGCAGGCGGAGGGAGCGGGACGUGUCCCUCUGCUCUGCCCUCGUGAGGCCUCGCCCGGAGGCUGCGCCCGGCUCCGACCCGGCACAGGCGGGAUGUGCCCGCCGGGGCGGCACGAAGGGGCAAGGAAGCAGCGGGCACAAAGAUGCUCAGAGGGCCAGAGCACCUCUCCUAUGGAGCCAGGCUGGGAGAGCCGGGGAUGUCCAGCCUGGAGAGGAACGGGCUCCGGCGGAGGCCUCACUGCGGCCCUCCAGUGGCUGAAGGGGCCUAUAGGCAAGGCAGAGAGCGAUUUCUUCACAUGGGCAGCGAGUGAGAGGAAAAGGGGGAACGAUUUUAAACCAGAAGAGGGAAGAUUUAGAUUAGAUGUUAGGAAGAGCUGUGAGGGUGUCGAGACACUGGAAUAGGCUGCCCAGAGAAGCUGUGGAUGCGCCAUCCCUGGAAGGCACUAUUCCAGGCCAGGAUAGAUGUGGCCCUGAGCACCCUGGUCUAGCGGAUGGUGUCCCUAUCCAUGGCAGGGGAGUUAGAACCAGAUGAUCUUCAAGGUCCCUUCCAAGCCAAAGCAUUCUGGGCCUCCACGAGGGUGCAACGAGGUCACCGGCUACCGGAACAUGGAAUGUUACCAAACGGUUGCCAUGCGGGCGUCCGCACGGAGGGGUCAGGAGCCCAACACUCCAUCGACAGUUGGCAGUUGGCGGAUACUCUGCUGGGAAGCAGGUGCAGAGCCUCUGUCUUCUCUGUCCCUGGUGGGAACAGAAGGCGAUUUGCUGAUAAUUUUCAAGAAAAAUUCUCAACUAACUGAACAGGUGAGUGUAGAUGAUCUUUGAAAGUGUUUCUGAUGCUGUGGGGCUGUUCUGGGCUUCAAGUCCAGCUGCAGGUGUCUGGGACUCAAGUACCAGACUCAUAGAUUUCCCCUCUAGCUUUGGGCAGAAACUGGUGACUCGUCAAAGGGAAUCUUAGAGUAUGUGUGGGUAUUUAAGAGAACAGGCAUUCCAGAUAGGUAAUCUCCUCUCUUCUUUUCUGAUAGGUUCGGAAGAACAUCAUUCUCUGAUUCCUAGAAAUCAGGAUUUUGUAGACUGUUCUGCCUAAGGAGUCUAAGGGAUCGAUUGCUGUAACUUCCCUGAAAUUCCUUUUUUGGUGUUUGUCCCACUGACUUUUCCAGUGGUUUUAGAUCACAAAACACCAUGAGCACAAAUCGGCGAAAGCGCCGUGGAGGAGCCGUUAAUUCCAGACAAGCUCCGAAACGAAGCAGGCUGCUGGCUUCUAGUGCCGGUGAAGCUUCAGCAGCAGAGCCAAUAGACCUCGAAGACAGUCAUGUGCUUUCUUUUGACCUUGGUAAGAACAGAAACUGCUUCUAGAGGUUUGACAUACAGCUGAACAUAUGCUUUUGCCAGUUUCUAGGCCCUUUACUGGGGAGGAAGGGAAACAUGGGAUUUUAGGAAGUGCCUAGUAUGGCAUCUCUAAACAACAAGCCUUCUCACAACCAUUUGGGUUUGUUACUGAGCUGUGAUACAUUUUCCACUAAAAUGAGAGAGAUUCCAUGCUUUCAUUUGAAAGAGAAUGAGAGAGAAUUUCUGCUAAAAUGAGGGAGAUGAGCUGUGUAUCAAAGGUCCUCAAGUGCUGCUCAGACAUCUGAAUGAACUCUGAUGAGCUGGCAGGUGCCACAGCUGCCACUACAGAGGGUGGCAAACUAAGUAUGAGAUCUCUGAAGUUGGAAGAAGAUAAGGAAAAGGUAGCUGUGCCCCAUCCCUCAGGGGAACAUGUACAGCAUGGUACUGUAAAAUUAUGAUACCCUCUAUGAUUCUGGUUCUGCUUUGGGUUUUGUUUUGGGUUUUUUUUCUGUCUGAUAAACAUUACCCUAUGUUAGAUGAAUCAUCUGUUGGUGUGUACCUCCCGCAAGAUAUUGUUAUCCAACAGAAUUGUGUGAGAAGUUCAGCUGCUGUUCCUCUUGUGCUGCCACCUGUGAUAAAACAGGGAUGGUAAUGGUCACUGUGGACUGUUGAGGGCAAAGCUUGAGUGAAAUUUUGGCCACAUUCCUGAAGAGAAGAGACCCAAGGCACAAAUGAAUCUACCUCAGCCUGUUCCACAGUGACAGCCCAUUUCUCUUUUUCAGCUGUUGACGAAAUCAUAGAUCUCACAGACGAAUCUGCUGAGCCUGAAGUCAUUGAUCUAACUGGUGAUGAUUCUGUUGUGCAGUGGGAGCAGAACCAGGAGCACCCACUUGUUUCCAGUGCAGCAGACAAUUCAGUUGUGCUACUGACGAGUGAUGAUGAAGAGGAACCAAGAGAUAAUGAUGGUUCUCUUCUCUCUAGCACACGGCCAGUAGGUACUGUUAGCUCUCCAAUUUGGAUAGAUGACUACUCAGAGCUUCUUGAAGGGUAUGAACAACAAGGGAGAAAUCUUACACCAAGAAGCCAGCAACUGUUGGACAGCCCUGUACUGCGCAGUUAUGAAUAUGAAACAUAUGAAUAUGAAUAUGAUGUGCCUGACAUAGAGUCUGAAGUGACUGA
This is a long non-coding RNA of Manacus vitellinus (golden-collared manakin), 2578 nucleotides long. RefSeq lists it as uncharacterized. The record is from RefSeq and is a predicted model, not a curated record. NCBI's taxonomy places the organism in Eukaryota, Metazoa, Chordata, Aves, Passeriformes, Pipridae. The transcript has 6 exons.